CGUAGGGUGCGAGCGUUAAUCGGAAUUACUGGGCGUAAAGCGUGCGCAGGCGGUUGUGCAAGUCUGAUGUGAAAGCCCCGGGCUUAACCUGGGAACGGCAUUGGAGACUGCACGACUAGAGUACGUCAGAGGGGGGUAGAAUUCCACGUGUAGCAGUGAAAUGCGUAGAGAUGUGGAGGAAUACCGAUGGCGAAGGCAGCCCCCUGGGAUGAUACUGACGCUCAUGCACGAAAGCGUGGGGAGCAAACAGGAUU
RNAcentral lists this ribosomal RNA (254 nucleotides) under uncultured bacterium. RNAcentral describes it as "partial 16S ribosomal RNA". It matches the Rfam family "Bacterial small subunit ribosomal RNA", at positions 526 to 779 of the family's 1533-position model. The record is from RNAcentral.